This 301-nucleotide ribosomal RNA is filed under the name uncultured bacterium. RNAcentral describes it as "partial 16S ribosomal RNA". It matches the Rfam family "Bacterial small subunit ribosomal RNA", at positions 509 to 808 of the family's 1533-position model. The record is from RNAcentral.
CAGUCGCCGCGGUAAUACGUAGGUCCCGAGCGUUGUCCGGAUUUAUUGGGCGUAAAGCGAGCGCAGGCGGUUAGAUAAGUCUGAAGUUAAAGGCUGUGGCUUAACCAUAGUACGCUAUGGAAACUGUUUAACUUGAGUGCAGAAGGGGAGAGUGGAAUUCCAUGUGUAGCGGUGAAAUGCGUAGAUAUAUGGAGGAACACCGGUGGCGAAAGCGGCUCUCUGGUCUGUAACUGACGCUGAGGCUCGAAAGCGUGGGGAGCAAACAGGAUUAGAGACCCGUGUAGUCCCUGUCUCUUAUACA